UUGUUAGUCUGUCAGAUAAAAGAUUCACAUUUUCGUGAUCCUCGUCAAAUUUGGGGUCGACUCCAGGUAUCAACUCAAAAUACCCCAAAUUCGUCAAAAAUCGCAAAUUUUCAUGAGCAAUAGUUCAUGAAAAAUCGCGAUUUUUGUCAAAUCCGACUUUUAGCAAAAAACAAGUAAUUCCCAUCCCAAAUCUAUUAAGGAUCACUAAAAUCCUACUCGUUUUGUUAUGGGAUCAUUAUUUCUGGAGAUAUUGGCUACUUCCGGUUACUUCCGGAAAAUUUCCGUGACAAUCUGCAAAAAGCUGAUCCUACGAGCUACGACAAUUUUACCUACAAAUGUUUAGCCGUUUCGUGCUGCACUUAGUAGUCUAUUUUCUAGGAUGUAAUGCCUAAAAUUGGAAUUCAGCUAUCAGAGAUUAGCAAAAAUCAAGCGGAAAUUCUAGAUGGCGUUUUUGUGCGUUUAUGAUGAAGAUUAUGAGUGACAAGUUAAAUGGGUGUUUGUUACGUUACGCUGUUAUGUGUUUCAAAGGAUUUUUCGUCAAAAAAUUUACGAUUACUUUUUGUCUGUGUUGGUGUGUCACCUUGUCAGCUAUGCCAGCUGCUGAACCAGCAGCCUGCAUUCCUGCUAUCAAUGUAUCACAAGAGAUCCUGACACUUUGAGAAUGCCACUAUUGCUUACAUGAAGAUCUCCAUCCAGUUCAAGUACUGCUAAUGGACCUCAAGCCUUUUGUUUAAGCUUAGUGAUGUGUUCUCUCAUCAGUCAACGACCGAGUCUUCAUCUACUUUGUGUUGCUAACCAUCCACCCUCAGCAUCCCAGGUAUCCAGAUUUCCAAGUUUCUCUGAUUAGCCAACCAUCAUCCAAACCCUUCAGCUCUUCAAUGUGGCUUCUCUUCCUCUCUUCCUCUGUUGGCAAUCUGCUGAAUGCCAACAUUGAAUAAGAUUCAUCAUCAUUGCCUUUCCAUGAAAUCUUCAUUGUUAUUCCUGCUGUUCUUCUCACCGUUACUUAGCCAGCUCAUAUGGAUAGGCUUUAACAUCUCCAUUUUUUGGACUGCAAAUAUUCAUCUUCCUUCGGUACGACACUGCCGUUUUGACAAUUUCGGUAGUUUCGCCCCCAGUGGACCACACACAACUACAUUUUCUUCGUCUUCCUGUCGUUGUUGUCUACGACUUCACCUCAUCGCUGUCUUCGUUGACGUCUUCGCCUUCAUCUCCGUCUCGUCGUCUUGGUCGUCUUCGCCUUCAUCUCCGUCUCGUCGUCUUGGUCGUCUUCGCCUUCAUCUCCGUCUCGUCGUCUUGGUUGUCUUCGCCUUCAUCUUCGUCUCGUCGUCUUCGCCGUCUUUGUCUACGCCAUCACCUUGUCGCCGGCUUCUCCUUCACCCUUUACAAGGGAAUUCACCGUGGAUCGUCGCUCUGGUAUUGUUUUAUUUUGCAUUGUAAUUGUUAAGUUAACCCGUUGGCUGCCACCCCGUUUGCGUCCCAUUUUUGUUGUAGCUUGUAGGGACCGGCCGCAAUGGCCUUCGCCGCAAGGCGCCUUAGG
Molecule: long non-coding RNA, 1537 nt
Organism: Daphnia magna
Lineage: Eukaryota; Metazoa; Arthropoda; Branchiopoda; Diplostraca; Daphniidae
Exons: 8
Source: RefSeq, a predicted model, not a curated record